AAAACUCAGUUAAAACCAUUGCUGUAUUAUGAUCAAAAGAUCUAAAUAAAUGAAAUGUCUUGUAAAAUACGUUUGAUAUUCUAUAUUAUACUGAUUCUGAUAUGACUACUGUGACAGAAUUAUGAUUGUACUGUUUGAUCUGACUGUCUGUACUUCUUUCUUCUUUACAUGUAAGACAAAAUGGUGCCCACUUACUUCAAUAGGGAGAGCGCAGAUCUAUGGAUGGGGGGUCAUGAGUCCAAUCCUCAGGCGAGCAGAAUGUUCUCCUUGAUGAUUUGAUAAAAGUCAUAGUGUCUGAAAUCAUUUGAUUCAUGUGGGAAUUAUGCCAAUGUAAGAAGAUUAAGAAGUAAUUAGACUCAAUAAAAAUUUGAGGUCCAGUGGUAACACUGUCCGUGUAUGAGUACACAUCCAGGAAUUGUGAUUCUGAUCCGCCUGCUCAUCCAUCAGACAUUGGAAUAAAAGUCCUGUGUAUGGGUGCUGCCUGGCAUACUAAAGACUCAGGGAAACUUCUAGAAUUGGAGCAUCUUCUGUAUCUUGCGCUGUCCUCCCACUAGAAUUACUAACAGUCGCCCAUACCUAUGGCAACCAUGAUCAAUUUAUAUCCAGCG
Molecule: long non-coding RNA, 608 nt
Organism: Mercenaria mercenaria
Lineage: Eukaryota; Metazoa; Mollusca; Bivalvia; Venerida; Veneridae
Exons: 3
Source: RefSeq, a predicted model, not a curated record